GACGAACGCUGGCGGCGUGCUUAACACAUGCAAGUCGAACGGUGAAGCGCCUUCCUUUUUGGUGGGUGUGGAUGAGUGGCGAACGGGUGAGUAACACGUUAGUAACCUGCCCCCUUCUUCUGGAUAACCGCAUGAAAGUGUGGCUAAUACGGGAUAUUCUGGGUCUGUCGCAUGAUGGGUCUGGGAAAGAUAUUGUUUCGGUGGGGGAUGGGCUCGCGGCCUAUCAGCUUGUUGGUGGGGUGAUGGCCUACCAAGGCGGUGAGGGGUAGCCGGCCUGGGAGGGUGGACGGUCACACUGGGAAUGAGACGCGGCCCAGACUCCGACGGGAGGCAGCAGUGGGGAAUAUUGCACAAUGGGCGCAAGCCUGAUGCAGCGACGCCGCGUGAGGGAUGGAGGCCUGCGGGUUGUGAACCUCUUUCGCCAGUGAAGCAGGCCUGCCUCGUUUGUGGGUGGGUUGACGGUAGCUGGAUAAGAAGCGCCGGCUAACUACGUG
Molecule: ribosomal RNA, 494 nt
Filed under: uncultured bacterium
Lineage: Bacteria
Description: partial 16S ribosomal RNA
Rfam family: Bacterial small subunit ribosomal RNA
Source: RNAcentral